AUACGUAGGUGACAAGCGUUAUCCGGAUUUACUGGGCGUAAAGGGCGUGUAGGCGGUCUUGCAAGUCAGAAGUGAAAUUCCUGAGCUCAACUCGCGCGCUGCUUCUGAAACUGCAGGACUUGAGUGCUGGAGGGGAUAGCGGAAUUCCUAGUGGAGCGGUAAAAUGCGCAGAUAUUAGGAAGAACACCGGUGGCGAAGGCGAGUAUCUGGACAGGAACGGAAGGUGAGGGGCGAAAGCGUGGGGAGCAAACUGGAUUAGAUCCCCGGGUAGUCCACGCCGUAAACGAUGAAUACUAGGUGGAGGGGGUAUCGACUCCCUCUGUGCCUCAGUUAACACAAUAAGUAUUCCGCCUGGGGAGUACGGCCGCAAGGUUGAAACUCAAAUGAAUUGACGGGG
This 397-nucleotide ribosomal RNA is filed under the name uncultured bacterium. RNAcentral describes it as "partial 16S ribosomal RNA". It matches the Rfam family "Bacterial small subunit ribosomal RNA", at positions 523 to 918 of the family's 1533-position model. The record is from RNAcentral.